RNAcentral lists this long non-coding RNA (5884 nucleotides) under Solanum tuberosum (potato). RNAcentral's name for it is "long non-coding RNA (STUB_LNC006785)". The record is from RNAcentral. Lineage: Eukaryota; Viridiplantae; Streptophyta; Magnoliopsida; Solanales; Solanaceae.
GUAGCCCAAUCAACUUUCCCACUCCAAGAUCGUGUAGCCAUAGUUACCGGCUCUUCUCGCGGAAUCGGCAAAGCAAUUGCACUUCAUUUGGCCUCACUUGGUGCUAAACUCGUCAUCAACUAUUCCUCCAACUCCUCUCAAGCCGAUGACGUCGUAUCCCAGAUCAAUUCCACCUCCGAUUCCCCACGCGCCAUUGCCGUCAAAGCCAAUAUCUCCGAUCCAGAUCAAGUAAAAUCCCUCUUCGACGCAGCAGAAUCGGCUUUUAAAUCACCGGUCAACAUCCUGGUCAACUCCGCCGGGGUACUCGACGGAAAAUACCCGUCAAUCCUAAACACAACCCUAGAGGAUUUCGACAGGACUUUUGAUGUGAACGCUCGUGGAGCUUUUGUGUGCUGCCAAGAAGGUGCUAAGAGAAUCAAACACGGCGGGGGAGGGAGAAUUAUAUGCCUAUCGACGUCGUUAGCAGCGGCGUUUAGACCUGGAUACGGAGCGUAUAUCGCUUCAAAAGCGGCCGUGGAAGCAAUGGUGAAGAUAUUGGCGAAGGAACUGAAAGGGACAGGAAUAACGGUGAAUUCUGUGGCGCCGGGACCCAUAGCGACGGAAUUGUUUUACGAAGGGAAAACAGAGGCGAUGAUAAAGAGGGUGAUUGAUGAUUGUCCACAUGGGAGACUUGGCCUGCCGGAGGAUAUUGCGCCGGUGGUUGGGUUUUUGGCCGGCGACGCUUCUGAAUGGGUUAAUGGACAGAUUAUUCGUGUCAAUGGCGGCUUCAUCUAAUUAUUUUUUUUGCCGAGUUUUGUUUUACCUGCAGUUUCGAUUGUAACAUCUAUUUGAUUUUGUUUCGUUUUCCCUUAUUACAUAUAAUAUAAUAUAAAAUAAUAAGUAGUAUACAUAUUUGUACGAUCCAUGGUUAUUUUGUGAUAUAAGAAGGGGAAUAAACACUAGCACCAGAGGCGGAGCUAGGUGGAGUUCAUAAGUUCGAAUAAAUCUACUAGCUUUUUCGUAGAGUUUAUAGUUAUAUUAGAAAAUUAAAUAAUUAUAUAUGUAUAUUAACUUGUGAACUCGUAACAAAAUUAAUUGACAGUUUAAUAAUAAGGAAGGAUGGUAAAAAUAUUUUUCACACAUUUAUUGUGAGUUUGGACACUACUAUCAACAAAAAUUUCUCUAAUUCUAAAAUUUUGAACCUCCAAUUUCCUAUUUCUAACUACGUCUCUGCAUAGCUGGACGUUAACAUGUCAGUUUCAGUUGUAUUCUUGAGUUGCUUGGCAGUCAAAAUUAGACAAGUAUUUUUAAAUUUUUUUUAUUUUUAAAUUAGACGAGUAUUUAGAUAUAUCAAUUUGCAAGCUUUGUUUUACUUCCUAACAUAACAUACCUAAAAUUCAACAAUUCAUUAAAUAUGCUAACAUCGAUAACGUAUGAAAACAAAUCAAGCAUUCAAAAUUCGAUCACCAUAGAUUCGGGAGAUCACAUGGAAUUGAAGUACUUUACACAAUUUCAAGUUCAUGCAUUAUAAUUGAUAGAAUCAUGUUUUAGAAGAGGCGAAAAUAUAAGUAUUAAAAAACAUUGUAAAUGAAUAAAUCAUCAUAAUAAUAAGAUGGAUGUCUAUCAUCAUUUUUACUCACAUUAUAAAUAAUUGAUGUGAAAAAUUAGCAUGUCAUUCCAAAAGAGUGUUGUUCAAAAAUUUUAAAUCAUAGACUUCCAUUACAAUAUUCAAAUAAUGUUCUUAUCAUAUUAAUUAAAAUAGUACUGCAGAAAAGAAGAUCAAUAUAUCAGAUUUAAUUUUAAAAUAUAAAUUUUCAAAGACAGUAGUAGCUUAUCAGAAUCGCAAGAACCACAAUUCCAUGCUAAUUUUUAUGAUUUUGUUUUAUAUUUCUGAAUUGUUUUUAAGAUCUAAUUCUGUUGUUUGGAAUUUUAUCUAUUUUCAAAAUCAUCAUAUUCAUAUUUUAUUUUACUUAUAUAGAAGAGACAGUUUUCACUUUUCAACAUGUCUGUUUUUUGCCAAUUAAUUCUAAAAUAAGGGUAUUUUGGUCAUUUAUCCUAUCAAACUAAUGUGUAUUUAUGGGUUACAUUUGUGUCUUUCAUCUACUUUGGAGUAGACACGUAGUUUGGCUUUUAAGGAGUAAGAAAAAAAACUCACAAUUGAGGUGCAUUAAUGCAAAAGCGAAAAAAGAAGGCUAGAGAGAAUUGUUAGUGUCUAUCCAAAACCAUCUUUUUCCAGGGAAGAUGUCAAAGUUUUGCAUCAGUUGCAAUCCCAAACUUGUUGUAUUGUUUUUGUUUGAGGCCUGUGAAUUUUGUACAUAUGUUCACUUUAUGUAUAGUUUUGUUUAGUAAUAUGGCAAAAUCAGGUGAAAGGGUAUUUAGAACAUACCAAUAACCAAUGUGCUUAUCCACCUUUGAGCAAACAUCUCACUUACCAUUAGCCCGUAGGAAAAAAGAUGAAAUCCAAAUGCCACAUCCCAUCUCCACCAGUUUGGAAUGGAUCCUGUCAUAAGUCACUUCGAUCCAGAAUAUUUGAGGAAAAAGUUGAAGUUUGACUUGAUUUUCUCGGGGGCUAGCUAAACAUUCGACUCCAACUACCUACCGACUUAGACUUUUAAGUGCAACACUAUUUAUUUUGAUUUAAAAAAUUCACGAUGAGACCAGUUUGAUCCCCUGUCUGCAGUAAAACAUUGUACUCAAUACAUAAACAUAAAUUAGCAAUAUCUUUAUGAAACAAGCUAUGAACUUUUAUAAAGCUUGAUUGAUAGAUGAUAUAUAGCCGUAAAAGCUUGUGUUAUGCAGAUACGGUUCUUUUUCCAUGGAACGAAUAUGUGUAACUUUUUCUUUUUGUAAACCUCAACGUAAAUUGAAUUAUAAGAACAACUUCAUUCAUUAGCUUAAAAUAUUUAAGAUGACUUUUGGUUUAGCUCCGAAACAUAAAACUUGAAAGUUGCGAUUUCGAAAUUUGUUUUAGGAUCUACGAAAUAUCCUUGAAUAAUUUGGUGGAAUUACAGUCAUAACUUAGCCUAACUUAAUAGAAUGAAAGACGUGGCAUUCUAUAUGGUGUAAUCAAAGUAUGUGAUUCAUUAUAUAUAUUCCAAUGUAACAUUUAGUAUUAGUUCAUGUUAAAAACGAUAUCUAUUUAUAUUGUUGAUGAAUAUGGUGACCUCUUCUAACUUCAAUUCUUUGCAACUAGAACUAAUGACUAAACAACAUUCGUUGAUAUAUAUAUACUUUCUCAUUUGCAAUUAUUGAAUGCUAUCUGAUAUAACUUGAUUAUGGUUCUCUACACUUCACCACCAAGUCAGCUUGUGAACUCUUCUAACUUCAAUACAAUGCCAACUAAACUAAAAGGAUAUUUGUUCACUCCUCCUUUUCCGCCUCCUUGCAUAUAUGCAUGUCUAUCAUUUAUAAGUUUGGAGAAUAAUCACAUAAAGAUGUGUGCCUUUUUUUUUUGUCUCAAUUUUAUGGUUAAAGAAUCUCAACCUCGGCACACAUCAGAUUUGAUAUUUUAUGUAAAUGAGAUGUACAAAAUUAUCUUGUAAACUUGGCUUCUUAGUAAAUACUAUCAAACAAUUAAUAUGUGUUCUUCGGUUAUUAUUGUGAAUCACAUCAAUCUAGCUUAUCCUAUGCACUCAAAAACAAUCUUCGCAUUGGCACGGGCCAUAAUCCCCUAGUCUUAAAUAUAUUUGUUUACCUUAUUUAUUAGUUUUAACUUAUUCCAAAAUAUAAAUAACUACUAUAUCUUAUCUGAAUUUAUGACUUUCUAUAUUACUUUUUUUAAUCAUUUGUUAAAAUUGUAUAUUUGUGAUAAGAUUAACUUAUGUUUUAAUUAUUUGUUUAAAUUUGAAUAUGAUUUCCCUUUUGUAAAAUAUCUUCUUUCCAUAUUAUAGCUGUCCAUAUAGAGCUGUCAAUAUGGGCUGACCCACCCCAUUCGAGCUAACUCAUACAGACUUUGCAAUUUGACGGGUCAGGCCGGGUUAACUCUUUUUUUUUAUGUGGGCCAGAAAAUGAUCGGUCCUGCCCACAAGUGCGUGGGCUACGGGCUUUGCCGGGCCAACCCUUUUUUCUUAAAAGUAUAUUUUUUAUAAUUUUUUAAAUUGAAUUAUAAUUUUAAAAUAUUAUCAUAAAUAUCGACUAGUGUUACUACUUGUUAAUCAAAUACACAAAUAAAAUUAUUUAUAUAAUAUUUAUUAAGUUUGUUUUCAAGUAAAAACAUAAAUAGCUAAAUGGAAAUAUUAACCUAAUUAUUUUCCAAUGAUCAUAAUAAAACACAAAAACUAUGAUAAUAUUCCAUAAGGUAUGACCUAUGUAAUGAUUCCCUAGAAAUUUUAGAAACUUUAUUUUAUGUAGUACCUAUUUUAUAAACAUAAUUUGUAUUUAAAUUGUAACAUUUCAAACUUUAAACAGAUUUUGAGUGUAAACUCCUGUUAUUUUUAAUACUCUAUUUUAUUUUUAUUUUUUAAUUAAUUUUUAUUUGGCCCACAGCCCGGCUCUAUUCAUAUUUCUCAGGCCUCACAAAUCGACAGGCUUAUUUAGGUCAGGUUAAAAAGCCUUUUUCUUAAAUGGACUCCAAAAAUAGUAGUCCAACCCUAUCAAAUCACGAGUUAGAUCAGACCGACCCAACGGACCUAAUCCAUAUUGAUGGCUCUAAUAGCAGACAUAUGAAGUAUCUCCAUUUUAAAAUUUUGUCCUAAAGUGUCAAGCGAUUUAUUUGACUCUGACCAAAAUUAAAAGCGAUUUAUUUGACUAAAUUUCAAGUUUGACUAUCUCUUUCAAUAGGAAAAAGCUCAAAAUAGUUCAAUUUUCGGUUAAGACUCAAAGUUAUUUUUAAAUUUUUAUAUAUAAUAAUAAUAGACUCAAAGUCAUUAUUAAAUUUUUAUAUAUAAUAGUAAUAGUCCUUUAUAUUUGUAAAAUUUUAAUAUUAAUACAUUUUUUAUCCUCCCUCAAACUUUGGCCUAUUUUUAAACGUUCAUUUUAUCCAUAAUUUAUGUGUAGAAUGUUAAAUCUUUUUUAAAUAUAUUUAAUAGAAAUAAUACUCAAUGUGAGAGAAGGUGCGAAGAAAAUCUUGUUCUGUUUGAUAGAAAUAUUAUUGCAUCUAAACUAUGAACACUUUGACAUUUGACGUUGCAAGAAAAGAAAAAAAUAUACUAUUGCACGUGACAACACAAAUGAACCUCUCGAUUUUAACUGUAAAAGUAUUUCUACUAAAUAAAAUAAGAUAUUUCUUUUCUUACAUGAAAUUAUUAUUUCUACUAAAUAUAUAAAAAGAUAAUGAAAGAAUUCAUACAUAAAUUGUGGAUAAAAUUAAUGUUAAAAGAUAUGCAAAAAAUACAUCAAGUCACUAAUGCCAACACAAGGAACUAUUAUUAUUCCAAGUGAAAACUCAAAUAUGACUUUAAUUCUUAACCGAAGAUAAGAGACUAUUUUGAAUUUUUUCUCGUCUUUUAUUUGUUAUAAAUAGUAAUAAUAAUACUAUAGAAUAUUAUCACACAAUUAGCACCACACCAGCACUUUUCGGUGUCUGUCCACAAAAUUCCAUUUUCUAGCAAUUUCAGUGCUUUUCUUCAGUGAUAAUGGCGGAAGCAAACGUAGCUCAAGGCCAAAACCUCGGGAAUCGUGUAGCCAUUGUUACCGGCUCUUCUCGCGGAAUCGGCAAAGCAAUUGCUCUUCACUUGGCCUCUCUUGGAGCUAAACUCGUCAUCAACUACACUUCCAACUCUACUCAAGCCGACGACGUCGUAUCCCAGAUCAAUUCCACCUCCGAUUCCCCACGCGCAAUCGCCGUCAAAGCCAAUGUCUCCGAUCCAGAUCAAGUCAAAUCCCUCUUCGACGCUGCAGAAUCAGCCUUUCAAUCGCCGGUCAACAUCCUCGUCAAUUGCGCCGGUGUACUCGACGGAAACUACCC